This 467-nucleotide ribosomal RNA is filed under the name unidentified high G+C Gram-positive bacterium. Its description in RNAcentral is "bacterial SSU rRNA". It matches the Rfam family "Bacterial small subunit ribosomal RNA", at positions 28 to 508 of the family's 1533-position model. Lineage: Bacteria; Bacillati; Actinomycetota; Actinomycetes. The record is from RNAcentral.
GAUGAACGCUGGCGGCGUGCUUAACACAUGCAAGUCGACCGAUGAUCUCCAGCUUGCUGGGGGGAUUAGUGGCGAACGGGUGAGUAACACGUGAGUAACCUGCCCUUGACUCUGGGAUAAGCCUGGGAAACUGGGUCUAAUACCGGAUACGACCGCUCCACGCAUGUGGUGGUGGUGGAAGCUUUUGCGGUUUUGGAUGGACUCGCGGCCUAUCAGCUUGUUGGUGGGGUAAUGGCCUACCAAGGCGACGACGGGUAGCCGGCCUGAGAGGGUGACCGGCCACACUGGGACUGAGACACGGCCCAGACUCCUACGGGAGGCAGCAGUGGGGAAUAUUGCACAAUGGGCGGAAGCCUGAUGCAGCGACGCCGCGUGAGGGAUGACGGCCUUCGGGUUGUAAACCUCUUUCAGUAGGGAAGAAGCGUAAGUGACGGUACCUGCAGAAGAAGCGCCGGCUAACUACGUGC